Molecule: long non-coding RNA, 1725 nt
Organism: Papaver somniferum (opium poppy)
Lineage: Eukaryota; Viridiplantae; Streptophyta; Magnoliopsida; Ranunculales; Papaveraceae
Exons: 3
Source: RefSeq, a predicted model, not a curated record
GUUCAUCCAUCUUUCUCUAAAAUUUCCUCUGGUUCCUCUAUCGUACUCGAUUUGGUUUCUCUAAAAUUUCCUAAUGCAGAAACUGGUUGUCUUUCUGGCGUUGAAUCUAAGCGAUGAUGAAUGCAAAAAAAGAGUCAUUGAAGCUGCUUCUCUUUCUGCGCGUUAUUAGAGGGUCUUGACAUAACGGUGGACUCGGAAAAACUCUGAUUAACAAUAACCGGAAAAGUUGUUAAUCAUGAAUAGGCAGAUUAAACUUGGUUUGUACUGCAGCAGUAGUUUCAUUUGAGCCAGGACCGGAACCAGCUGAAGCAAGGAAAAACCCUACAGAUCAUGUAGUUGACCUAUAUCAGGCUUAUGGUCAACCGGCAGCGAACAUGGUGGGUAAUCUUUGUAGGACUUUAGGUCCACCGGCAGCGAACAUGGCAGGUAAUCUUUGUAAGACUUAUGGUCCACCGGCAGCGAACAGGGCGAUCCAGUUAGGACAGAUUUGCUAUUCAACAGUUGUUCGAGACAAGAAACCAAUACCUAAACACGAAGGAUUACGUACAAAAGUUAAUAAGCACCAUCGCGAAAAUCCAGAUAAAGCGAAAUGGUUCACGUGCCCACAAGGAGCAGCAAGAAUAUUUGAGCCAGAAAAUAAUAAAAGGGUGUUUCAGCUUCCAGUUUUUUUUUUGGUUAAUUAGCUUGAAUUUGAAUUAUUGGAUUUAUAAAACCUAAAAAUACUGUUUAAAUAAUUGUAACUGACAAGCGUACCCUCUCUAUUCAUUCUAUUUCUUUUUGUUCUUUUAUUGGCUUAUUGCUACUCUCUCCUUGUGCACGCCCCCUUUCAAUGGAUAUGAUGGUGAUACAAAGAAGAAGAAAGAAGAAACGAUUCCGAACCAACACAAAGAAAACUCUUCAUUGGAGAAAAAAUUGAAGUAAAUGAUUGAUUGAUUGAUUUUCUUGGGGAAAAGUUUGAUUCAAAACAGUAAUUUUCAAUUCUAGGGUUGGAUAGAACAACAUCAGCAGAUUAAUGGGACGAUUUAUGUCGACAAGGAAGCUGCUCUAGCUCUUGAAUUAGCGAUUGAGAAAUGAAUUUGGGAAGUGGAAUCAAAGUCUGUAAGAUUGCUAGAAUGGAUUCAAUUUAGGUAGGGAUCGUUAAUGGAUUUAAUUAAUUAAGAAAUGGGGUUCCUUGUUAUGGAUCUAGUCUGGAUUUAAUUAAGAAAUGAAGAAGGUGCAAGGCUGAAUUGAUUCAAAGUAGGGUUUGAUGUUUGAGAAAUUGUCUCCAUAACUAACUGUAGAGAGAAGAUGAGUUUGAAGUGAUUUAUAUUUCUCAAUUAAGAAAAACACAGCAAAUUAUUGAUUUGUAAGUAUGACUUUUUUUUUAGUUUUGGUGAAUGCGAUCAUAAUGAGACAGGUGAAUCAAAGAUGGCUAAGGAGGUCAAAUUCAUGGAGACAAAGUUGCAUGGUAAGAAGCUGAAGGACCCAUUUGUUACCACUGCACGAGAUGAGGAAAAAUCUAACCAACAACUGCUACUGCGUGAAGCUGCCGUAUCUCUAAUUCAUGUAAAUUUUGAAGGAAUUAAUUAUUUUUUGUUUCUGGAUUGCAGGGCACAAAAGAUAACCCCCAUGUUCCUGGAUUGAAACCAGAGUCUCGUAUAUCUCAAGUAGCAGUACAGGCAACGAUGGAAAUCAACAAUCAAAGAGUCGUCCUUUGGGUGCGUUUAGGUCAAAAAAAAAAAAAAA